RNAcentral lists this ribosomal RNA (406 nucleotides) under uncultured bacterium. RNAcentral's name for it is "partial 16S ribosomal RNA". It matches the Rfam family "Bacterial small subunit ribosomal RNA", at positions 29 to 526 of the family's 1533-position model. The record is from RNAcentral.
AUUGAACGCUGGCGGCAGGCCUAACACAUGCAAGUCGAGCGAGCGGCGGACGGGUGAGUAAUGUCUGGGAAACUGCCCGAUGGAGGGGGAUAACUACUGGAAACGGUAGCUAAUACCGCAUACCAUCAGAUGUGCCCAGAUGGGAUUAGCUAGUAGGUGGGGUAACGGCUCACCUAGGCGACGAUCCCUAGCUGGUCUGAGAGGAUGACCAGCCACAGUGGAACGGGGACACGGUCCAGACUCCUACGGGAGGCAGAAGUGGGGAAGAUUGCACAAUGGGCGAAAGCCUGAUGCAGCAAUGCCGGGUGUGUGAAGAAGGCCUGCGGGUGGUAAAGCACUUUCAGCGGGGAGGCGUUACCCGCAGAAGAAGCACCGGCUAACUCCGUGCCAGCAGCCGCGGUAAUUC